Molecule: transfer RNA, 56 nt
Filed under: Dermatophagoides farinae (American house dust mite)
Lineage: Eukaryota; Metazoa; Arthropoda; Arachnida; Sarcoptiformes; Pyroglyphidae
Description: tRNA-His
Source: RNAcentral
GAUUGAUUAGUUUAAUAAAAAUAUUAGUUUGUGGAACUAAAGAUAAGUAUUAGUCA